UAACAGUUCAGGCGGGAGCCGGAAGCCCAGCGCGGGACCAGUUGCGCCGUGGCCCCCUGUUGUGCCGCGGCGGAGAGGCUCAGUCAUGCAGGAAAACCUCAGAUUUGCUUCAUCAGGAGAUGAUAUUAAAAUAUGGGAUGCUUCAUCUAUGACACUGGUGGAUAACUUCAACCCUCACACGGCACCACAUGGAAUCAGUUCAAUGUGUUGGAGCAGCAAUAAUAACUUUCUAGUGACAGCAUCUUCUGGUGGUGACAAAAUAGUUGUUUCAAGUUGCAAAUGUAAACCUGUUCCACUUUUGGAACUUGCUGAAGGGCAAAAGCAGACAUGUGUUGAUUUAAAUUCUUCAUCUAUGUAUUUGGUAAGCGGAGGCCUAAAUAGCACUGUUAAUAUUUGGGAUUUAAAAUCUAAAAGAAUUCAUCGAUCUCUUAAGGAUCAUAAAGAUGAAGUAACUUGUGUAACAUACAAUUGGAAUGAUUGCUACAUUGCUUCUGGAUCUCUAAGUGGAGAAAUUAUUUUGCACAGUGUAACCACUAACAUAUCUAGUACUCCUUUUGGCCAUGGUAGUAACCAGUCUGUUCGGCACUUGAAGUACUCCUUGUUUAAGAAAUCAUUACUGGGCAGUGUUUCAGAUAAUGGAAUAGUAACUCUCUGGGAUGUGAAUAGUCAGAGUUCACACCAUAAUUUCGAUAGCACACAUAAAGCUCCAGCUUCCGGCAUCUGUUUCUCUCCUGUCAAUGAAUUGCUGUUUGUAACCAUAGGCUUGGAUAAAAGGAUCAUCCUCUAUGACACCUCAAGUAAGAAGCUAGUGAAAACUUUGGUGGCUGAGGCUCCUCUUACUGCAGUAGAUUUCAUGCCUGAUGGAGCCACUUUGGCUAUUGGAUCUUCCCGUGGGAAAAUAUAUCAGUAUGAUUUAAGGAUGCUAAAAUCCCCAGUGAAAACCAUCAAUGCUCACAAAACAUCUGUGCAGUGUAUAGCGUUUCAGUACUCCACUACUCUUACUAAGUCCAGUUCAAAUAAAGGCUGUUCAAAUAAGGCCACAGCAGUGAACAAGCGAACCGUCAAUGUGAGCACUGGUGGAGGGGUUCAGAACUCUGGAAUUGUCAGAGAAGCAGCCACUGUGUCUGUUGCCACAGUUCCGCCACAGCCUGUGGCACCAGCUGUGGGGAAAGGAACAAGUGCCAUUCAGAGCAAAGCAGGUUUGUCACGAAGCAUAAACACUGAAAUUUUACCUAAGGAAACAGAUGGUGGAAAAAGUCAGGACUUCUCUAGCUUUGAAGAUACUAGCAAGAGUAGUUUAGGUGACAUGUUCUCACCUAUCAGAGAUGAUGCUGUACUUAACAAGGGAAGUGAUGAAUCUGUAGGCAAAGGAGAAGGACUUGACUUUCUACCACAAUUAAAUUCAGUGUUUCCUCCAAGAAAAACUCCAGUUACUUCAGGCACUUUGGCAUUACACUCUAGUCCUCUUAAUGUUUUUAUGGGAUCACCAGGGAAAGAAGAAAAUGAAAAUCAUGAUUUGACAGCUGAUCCUAAGAAGACAUAUCUGGGAAAACCAGAACCUAAAGACUCCUUCAAACAGUUUGCCAGAUUGAUCUCCUCUGGUGCUGAACCUGGAAAUAUAAAUACCUCUCUAUCAACUAACCAAACAAGAAAUCUUGAGAAAUUUGAAAAGCCAGAGAAAGAUAUUGAAACCCAAUUAAUAUAUGAACCCCCAGUCAAUGGCUCCUCUACUCCAGACCCAAAGAUAGCAUCUUCUGUCACUGCCGGAGUUGCCAGUUCGCUCUCAGAAAAAAUAGUGGACACCAUUGGAAACAAUCGGUCAAAUGCUCCGCUGACAUCUGUACAAAUCCGUUUUAUUCAGAACAUGAUACAAGAAACCUUGGAUGACUUUAGAGAAGCAUGCCAUAGGGACAUUAUGAAUUUGCAAGUGGAGAUGAUUAAACAGUUUCAUAUGCAGAUGAAUGAAAUGCACUCCUUGCUGGAAAGAUAUUCAGUGAAUGAAGGUUUAGUGGCUGAAAUUGAAAAAUUACGAGAAGAAAACAGAAGGCUACGGGCCCACUUUUGAAAAUUCAUGAAUACUUUCAAGAUUUUGUAAUUUGCAAAGUCUCUGGCAACGAAGAACUAUGUAGAAUCAGUAUUUUCAUGGCCUACAGGUGGAAACUUUUUUUUCAUGUAAAGCAAUAACCUUUCCAAUUUGGUUACCAAGGUUAUACUUAUUAAUAGAAACUCAGUGCAACAUGAACAUAAAAUCAGAAGCUUCUGAUGAAUAUAUUUCUCCAGAUUGAAUUGGCCAGAGCAUGUGGACAGACCUUGAUCUAACCAAGGAAAAUGUACACUCUUGGGAAAGACUGUGUAGCAUCCUGUAAUGACAGAGAUUGUUUCACAGGAAAAUAUAGGAAUAUGGACAGUAGGUGGGCUGCGUGUCUGGAGCACACACUGGGGAGUUCGUGGGAAUCUGUAAACCUACAUCCACGUGCCACUCAGUAGAUGCCACCAAGAAGCAGCAACUCCUCCCCUAAGCAUACUGAGUGGGCUUGAUUUCUCCCCGCUGUCUUCCCCUUUGCAUGCAGGUGCUGUGAAGCAGAAGUGGACAUUCAGUACUAGGUCUUAAUAAAGGGUCAUGAAAUAAGCAUGGCAGGGGCAGGCCCUGGCCCCAGGUGUGCCCUCCUGAUACUUCAACUGAUGUCCUUUGCUACCAUGUC
Molecule: RNA transcript, 2702 nt
Organism: Dipodomys ordii (Ord's kangaroo rat)
Lineage: Eukaryota; Metazoa; Chordata; Mammalia; Rodentia; Heteromyidae
Gene: Nedd1
Gene name: neural precursor cell expressed, developmentally down-regulated 1
Exons: 19
Source: RefSeq, a predicted model, not a curated record